UGCAGUCGAGCGAACAGAUAGGAGCUUGCUCCUUUGACGUUAGCGGCGGACGGGUGAGUAACACGUGGGUAACCUACCUAUAAGACUGGAAUAACUCCGGGAAACCGGGGCUAAUGCCGGAUAACAUAUAGAACCGCAUGGUUCUAUAGUGAAAGAUGGUUUUGCUAUCACUUAUAGAUGGACCCGCGCCGUAUUAGCUAGUUGGUAAGGUAAUGGCUUACCAAGGCGACGAUACGUAGCCGACCUGAGAGGGUGAUCGGCCACACUGGAACUGAGACACGGUCCAGACUCCUACGGGAGGCAGCAGUAGGGAAUCUUCCGCAAUGGGCGAAAGCCUGACGGAGCAACGCCGCGUGAGUGAUGAAGGGUUUCGGCUCGUAAAACUCUGUUAUUAGGGAAGAACAUAUGUGUAAGUAACUGUGCACAUCUUGACGGUACCUAAUCAGAAAGCCACGGCUAACUACGUGCCAGCAGCCGCGGUAAUACGUAGGUGGCAAGCGUUAUCCGGAAUUAUUGGGCGUAAAGCGCGCGUAGGCGGUUUCUUAAGUCUGAUGUGAAAGCCCACGGCUCAACCGUGGAGGGUCAUUGGAAACUGGGAAACUUGAGUGCAGAAGAGGAAAGUGGAAUUCCAUGUGUAGCGGUGAAAUGCCCAGAGAUAUGGAGGAACACCAGUGGCGAACGCGACUUUCUGGUCUGUAACUGACACUGAUGUGCGAAAGCGUGGGGAUCAAACACGAUUAGAUACACUGGUAGUCCACGCCGUAAACGAUGAGUGCUGAGUGUUA
RNAcentral lists this ribosomal RNA (785 nucleotides) under Staphylococcus sp. NCCP-2667. Its description in RNAcentral is "bacterial SSU rRNA". It matches the Rfam family "Bacterial small subunit ribosomal RNA", at positions 56 to 825 of the family's 1533-position model. Lineage: Bacteria; Bacillati; Bacillota; Bacilli; Caryophanales; Staphylococcaceae. The record is from RNAcentral.